Molecule: ribosomal RNA, 450 nt
Filed under: uncultured bacterium
Lineage: Bacteria
Description: partial 16S ribosomal RNA
Rfam family: Bacterial small subunit ribosomal RNA
Source: RNAcentral
GUGGGGAAUAUUGGACAAUGGGCGAAAGCCUGAUCCAGCCAUGCCGCGUGUGUGAAGAAGGUCUUCGGAUUGUAAAGCACUUUAAGUUGGGAGGAAGGGCAGUAAGUUAAUACCUUGCUGUUUUGACGUUACCGACAGAAUAAGCACCGGCUAACUUCGUGCCAGCAGCCGCGGUAAUACGAAGGGUGCAAGCGUUAAUCGGAAUUACUGGGCGUAAAGCGCGCGUAGGUGGUUUUGUAAGUUGGAGGUGAAAUCCCCGGGCUCAACCUGGGAACUGCCUCCAAAACUGCUGAGCUAGAGUACGGUAGAGGGUGGUGGAAUUUCCUGUGUAGCGGUGAAAUGCGUAGAUAUAGGAAGGAACACCAGUGGCGAAGGCGACCACCUGGACUGAUACUGACACUGAGGUGCGAAAGCGUGGGGAGCAAACAGGAUUAGAAACCCCUGUAGUCC